UUUGCUUAUUUUCUUUGUCUGCAAACUGAGUAUAGAUAUUCAAGUGUUCUAUAGAUCAUAGGUUAUUCUUUCAUUCCAAUUCCAAUUCCAACACAGCACACAAUUUGUUCAGUGUGCCAAGCGACAAGACAACAAUGUCGUUUUUAAGGUAUGUUGCUUCUGUUUCCUUUCCCAAUUCUAGAUCAUACUCUCACUGUCUCCAACAUUUCAAUGAUGAUGCUGUUGAUGCUGUUUCCUUGUUCAAUCGAUUGCUCCAAACGAAACCCACCCCACCCGCCAUUGAAUUUGGCAAGAUUUUAGGUUCUCUUGUCAAAGCCAAACAUUAUUCCACUGUUGUUUCCCUUUCUCAAAAGAUGGAAUUGAGUAGAGUUACUCCUGAUUUUGUAACUCACAACAUCAUCAUCAAUUCUCUCUCUCAAUUAGGUCAUAUUACUUUUGCUUUUUCUGUUUUGGGGAAGAUUCUCAAGAGGGGUUAUCUCCCAGAUGCUAUAACCUUGACUGCAUUCAUCAAGGGUUUCUGUCUCAAAGGUGAACUUCAUAAAGCAUUGCAAUUUCAUGACAAGGUGGUAGCUCGCGGAUUUCAUUUCAACCAAGUUAGCUAUGGGACAUUGAUCAAUGGUUUAUGUAAACUUGGAGAAACAACUGCAGCACUACAGUUGCUCAGACGAGUUGAUGGAAAGUUGGUUCAACCUGAUGUGGUAAUGUACACUACGAUUAUUGACAGCAUGUGCAAAGAUAAACUUGUUAACAAUGCAUGUGAUUUAUAUUCUGAAAUGGUUGUUAAGAGAAUUUCUCCUAAUGUUUUCACUUACAAUGCUUUAAUUAAUGGCUUUUGCAUUGUUGGUAGAUUGGAAGAAGCAAUUUAUUUGUUUAAUAAAAUGACAUUGGAAAAAAUCUACCCGGAUGUGUAUACUUUUAGUAUAUUGGUUGAUGCUUUUUGUAAGGAAGGAAAGGUGAAAGAAGCACAAAAUGUGUUAGCUAUGAUGAUUAAAAAAGACAUUAAACUUAAUGUUGUUACGUAUAACUCUUUAAUGAAUGGAUAUUGUCAUGCAAAUGAAGUGAGCAAGGCCAAUGAUAUAUUCAACAUUAUGUCCAAAAGGGGAGUGAUUGCUGAUGUUUGGAGCUACAGUACCAUGAUAGUUGGAUUUUGUAAGGUUAAAAUGGUGGAUGAAGCUAUUAAUCUCUUCAAAGAAAUGCAUUGCAGAAAAAUCAUUCCCAAUACGGUAACUUACAGUUCCCUUAUUGAUGGUUUGUGCAAAUCGAGGAAAAUCUCACAUGCUUUAGAGCUUGUCGAAGAGAUGCAUGAUAGAGGUCAACCCCCGGAUAUAAUUACUUACACCUCUAUAUUGGAUGCUUUAUGCAAAAGUCACCAUGUUGACAAGGCAAUUGCUUUAUUUAAAGAAUUUAAAGACAAAGGUAUUAAACCAAGUGUGUGCACAUACACUAUUCUUAUCGAUGGAUUGUGUAAAGGUGGAAGACUAAAGGACGCGCAAAAGGUUUUUGAAGAACUUUUGGUCAAGGGUUACAAUCUUGAUGUCUAUAUAUAUACUGUUAUGAUCCAUGGAUUUUGUAACAAUGGCUUGUUUGAUGAAGCGUUGACUAUGCUGUCAAAAAUGAUAGACAAUGGUUGCAUUCCGGAUGCUCGUACUUAUGAAAUCAUUAUUCUUUCCCUAUUUGAAAAUGAUGAAAAUGAUAAAGCUGAGAAACUUCUUCUUGAAAUGAUUAUGUGAGGUCUACUAUGAGACUAGUAAUAGAGCGAACCAAAUCAGCACAAGCUGAUAAACAUUUUCUAGGAUUGCUCUAAUUGGUUGAGGAAGUGCAUCAAAACUUGUUACUUACUGUGAUGAUAUACAUUGCCGGUUGAGCUAUCACCUCAUGUUUGAUGGAUACUGGUGUUGUGCUGCGUGUUUGAACCUCUACUUGACCAAUCAAGGACACUUUGAGCAUUGUUUUGUUCCGAUGACUUUAGUAGGCAAUAACAAUUGAAAAAAGUGUUUGGUUUCUGGAAGUUUAAGGAGUGUCUUACAGGUUUUUUUACAAAAAUAAUCCACUUUUUCAAGGAAACUCCCAAAAUAUUCUUGGUUUCAAAAAAAAAUUCAAAAAUACCCCACUUUUAGGAGGAGUCGCCAAUUGAAUUAGAGACUCCUCUUAAAACUUGAAUGGAGGCGCCAAUCCAAUUGGCGCCCCUGUGUAGGUUUUAAGAGGAGUCGCCAAUUCAAUUGGAGACUCCUCCUAAAAUGCAUUUUUUGACUUAUAAAUAGAUGCUUUGUGUGACCAAUUGUUCCACAUGUCAUAUAAUCAUUUGACAAUCAUGUUUGGUGUUCGUCGCCGAUACGAAAAGGUGAUUUAUGCGAGAGACAAACCUCAAAUGCUAAUGCUGUUUUGGAACAUCACCAUGUUCGAUCAACUGAAGAGGGAGCUGGUUCGUUGGUUAGAUGGGAAAAUACCAGAAAGGGAAAAAUCAGAAGUAUUGAGAGACUUGACAAUAUCUUUGGUUGGGUGCGAAUGAAGACUGAUAAGGAUGCUAGGGAAAUGAUGUUCGGUCGAGACGACAUCAAUUUGAUUGUUGUAAUCAGUUAGAAAUAUAUAUGUUUUCAGAUGUUUUGUACUGAUCUUUGUUGUGAACCUCGUUGUAACAA
RNA transcript from Lathyrus oleraceus (garden pea), 2639 nucleotides. It is a transcript of the gene named pentatricopeptide repeat-containing protein At1g62930, chloroplastic, with no coding region annotated. The transcript has 3 exons. The record is from RefSeq and is a predicted model, not a curated record. NCBI's taxonomy places the organism in Eukaryota, Viridiplantae, Streptophyta, Magnoliopsida, Fabales, Fabaceae.